UAGGGAAUCUUCGGCAAUGGGGGCAACCCUGACCGAGCAACGCCGCGUGAGUGAAGAAGGUUUUCGGAUCGUAAAGCUCUGUUGUAAGAGAAGAACGUGUGUGAGAGUGGAAAGUUCACACAGUGACGGUAACUUACCAGAAAGGGACGGCUAACUACGUGCCAGCAGCCGCGGUAAUACGUAGGUCCCGAGCGUUGUCCGGAUUUAUUGGGCGUAAAGCGAGCGCAGGCGGUUUAAUAAGUCUGAAGUUAAAGGCAGUGGCUUAACCAUUGUUCGCUUUGGAAACUGUUAAUCUUGAGUGCCGAAGGGGAGAGUGGAAUUCCAUGUGUAGCGGUGAAAUGCGUAGAUAUAUGGAGGAACACCGGUGGCGAAAGCGGCUCUCUGGUCUGUAACUGACGCUGAGGCUCGAAAGCGUGGGGAGCAAACAGG
RNAcentral lists this ribosomal RNA (429 nucleotides) under bacterium. Its description in RNAcentral is "partial 16S ribosomal RNA". It matches the Rfam family "Bacterial small subunit ribosomal RNA", at positions 355 to 776 of the family's 1533-position model. The record is from RNAcentral.